This 733-nucleotide long non-coding RNA is filed under the name Musa acuminata (dwarf banana). RNAcentral describes it as "long non-coding RNA (MACU_LNC003936)". The record is from RNAcentral. Lineage: Eukaryota; Viridiplantae; Streptophyta; Magnoliopsida; Zingiberales; Musaceae.
AUCGAAACCUGAUGUAGUCCCAUCAAGAAUAUGUUGAGCCCACCAUGAAAUAAAUGUCUGAAACAGAACACCACAAAACCUUGGUGUUAAGCUUUUAUUUGGGAAAGGAGGAGAUGUGUCUUGAUUUGAUGGUUAGCGGAGACAGCUACAGAUACCACACCUCACAUGGAGGAGGAAGGUCACCGACAUGUGAACAGAGAUCAUGUUCAACAUAGAGUCAACGGAUUCACGCACAUGAUAAAGCCAAAGAGUCGAUGCAAAGAUUAGUCCGUCAUUAUUAUUGGACAGAACAAGAUUAAUCCGCACAAGCACAUAAAAAACAUUCGUGUGUAUAGUAAUUCUAUUUUAUAUUGAAUAAAAAUAGAAAAUUAUUACGGUGAGAGCAGGCGAACAUUACGAAGCUUUUGCUAGCGUGCAGGAGGACGACGGCGGAAGCGCGUCAAGGGAGAUGAACGAGAAGUGCAGCAAGAAGCUCCCAUUUGAGUACCUUCCCCUCACGGCAGCAGUAAGACGACGACGGAGUCCAACCGAGGGGCGAGGCGGUAAGCAAGUGGAGAUUCCAUCGAUGGCGAUCUCAUCCAUAGCAUUUUGUAUUUGGUGAGCGCAUGUGGACGGUUCGGUUCACGUGACACGGUUUCCCGUGAAGUGACCCUUCAAUUUUGGCUGCCGCGGAUCCCGUGCCCCACCCGCCUGUCGAAAUAAACCACGUCUAUCUACGUAGCACGUGAUUACC